This 465-nucleotide ribosomal RNA is filed under the name uncultured bacterium. Its description in RNAcentral is "bacterial SSU rRNA". It matches the Rfam family "Bacterial small subunit ribosomal RNA", at positions 28 to 507 of the family's 1533-position model. The record is from RNAcentral.
GACGAACGCUGGCGGCGUGCCUAACACAUGCAAGUCGAACGGACGAGAUUUCUUCGGAGAUCGAGUUAGUGGCGAACGGGUGAGUAACGCGUGAGCAACCUGCCUUUCAGAGGGGGACAACAGUUGGAAACGACUGCUAAUACCGCAUAACGUAUCGAGGGGGCAUCCUCUUGAUACCAAAGAUUUAUCGCUGAAAGAUGGGCUCGCGUCUGAUUAGCUAGUUGGUGGGGUAACGGCCCACCAAGGCGACGAUCAGUAGCCGGACUGAGAGGUUGAACGGCCACAUUGGGACUGAGAUACGGCCCAGACUCCUACGGGAGGCAGCAGUGGGGAAUAUUGGGCAAUGGGGGGAAACCCUGACCCAGCAACGCCGCGUGAAGGAAGAAGGCUUUCGGGUUGUAAACUUCUUUUACCAGGGACGAAGACGUGACGGUACCUGGAGAAAAAGCCACGGCUAACUACGUG